GAUGAACGCUGGCGGCGUGCUUAACACAUGCAAGUCGAACGAAGCACUUUACUUGAUUUCCUUCGGGGAUGAUUGUUCUGUGACUGAGUGGCGGACGGGUGAGUAACGCGUGGAUAACCUGCCUCACACAGGGGGAUAACAGUUGGAAACGACUGCUAAUACCGCAUAAGCGCACAGCACCGCAUGGUGCAGUGUGAAAAACUCCGGUGGUGUGAGAUGGAUCCGCGUCUGAUUAGCUUGUUGGCGGGGUAACGGCCCACCAAGGCGACGAUCAGUAGCCGGCCUGAGAGGGCGACCGGCCACAUUGGGACUGAGACACGGCCCAGACUCCUACGGGAGGCAGCAGUGGGGAAUAUUGCACAAUGGGGGAAACCCUGAUGCAGCGACGCCGCGUGAGCGAUGAAGUAUUUCGGUAUGUAAAGCUCUAUCAGCAGGGAAGAUAA
Molecule: ribosomal RNA, 443 nt
Filed under: uncultured bacterium
Lineage: Bacteria
Description: bacterial SSU rRNA
Rfam family: Bacterial small subunit ribosomal RNA
Source: RNAcentral